This 281-nucleotide long non-coding RNA is filed under the name Trifolium pratense (red clover). RNAcentral describes it as "long non-coding RNA (TPRA_LNC005260)". The record is from RNAcentral. Lineage: Eukaryota; Viridiplantae; Streptophyta; Magnoliopsida; Fabales; Fabaceae.
UCUCAUUCAUAUAAUUCAUUCAAAUAGUGACAACAUCCUUACAUCAAAAAUUUAAUUAAAGUACUAGAAAUUCCAAAAGAAAAAAACUAAUGUAGUUCAAACAUUCAAAAACAUAAAUAUUAGUAGAGUGACUAAACAUAAGCAUUACAUCAAAAUAAGAAGUUCACAAAAUAUCUAAAUAUUUCCUAUAGUAUGUGAUGUUGCUUCAUGAUCCCUUAAUUAGUGUUAGCUCUUGACUCAAAAUGUCUACCAUCUCUUUACUUGUCUCAUUUAGUUACCUG